CAGGGUACUCGAGUGGCGAACGGGUGAGUAACACGUGGGUGAUCUGCCCUGCACUUCGGGAUAAGCUUGGGAAACUGGGUCUAAUACCGGAUAGGAACCAUCUUUAGUGUGGUGGUUGGAAAGUUUUUUCGGUGUAGGAUGAGCUCGCGGCCUAUCAGCUUGUUGGUGGGGUAAUGGCCUACCAAGGCGGCGACGGGUAGCCGGCCUGAGAGGGUGGACGGCCACAUUGGGACUGAGAUACGGCCCAG
This 248-nucleotide ribosomal RNA is filed under the name uncultured Actinomycetales bacterium. RNAcentral's name for it is "partial 16S ribosomal RNA". It matches the Rfam family "Bacterial small subunit ribosomal RNA", at positions 83 to 334 of the family's 1533-position model. The record is from RNAcentral. Lineage: Bacteria; Bacillati; Actinomycetota; Actinomycetes; Actinomycetales.